This 272-nucleotide long non-coding RNA is filed under the name Malus domestica (apple). RNAcentral describes it as "long non-coding RNA (MDOM_LNC001106)". The record is from RNAcentral. Lineage: Eukaryota; Viridiplantae; Streptophyta; Magnoliopsida; Rosales; Rosaceae.
GGCAGACCAAGUAUGAAUAAUCAUGGGAUAAUGUCUGAUGGCCCAAGUGGGCCCAGCUUGCUGAAUGAUGUGAUGCUGGUCAAUAAUGCAGGCCCGAGUAGUGGGCUUCCACAAAUACAUAACAAUGCCAGCGGAUUAGAAGCUUAACACGACAACCCCCCUCAUACUCCUCAUGUACACGACCAUGAUCAAACAAAUAUUCAUGAGGUAAGUACUCAUUCAGAUAUUACUAAAUCAUCUUAUGUGUUACCUCCUCGACAAAAUCAAGGAAA